UUUUCGUAGGUGAACCUGCGGAAGGAUCAUUACUGAGUGAGGGCCCUCUGGGUCCAACCUCCCACCCGUGUUUAUUGUACCUUGUUGCUUCGGUGAGCCCGCCUCACGGCCGCCGGGGGGCAUCUGCCCCCGGGCCCGCGCUCGCCGCAGACACCCUUGAACUCUGUCUGAAGUUUGCAGUCUGAGCGAAAACUAAAUAAGUUACAACUUUCAACAACGGAUCUCUUGGUUCCG
Molecule: unclassified non-coding RNA, 234 nt
Filed under: plant metagenome
Description: partial contains small subunit ribosomal RNA, internal transcribed spacer 1, and 5.8S ribosomal RNA
Source: RNAcentral